GGACGAGGGGGCAGCUCGGUGGGGCUGUGGAGGUGCUGCACGACAGUGACACCGAGCCCCUCCAGGUUGGAGCCCCCCAAGAUCUGAAUCAAACUUUGCCAUUGCUUUUUCCAGCUGUUACUCAGCAGCUGUGGCUGGACCGUUAUGUAUCGGCAAUUGCAUCGUGAGCGUUCUGUGCUCGGCUAACCCUCUGUUUUAGGGAGAAGACAAUCCCGAGAGGAAUGGGCUGCCUGGAAAGGUAAUUCCAGCACGGGGGGGGUCGCGACCACCGAGCACCGACCCUUGCUCAGAACAGACCCAAAUGAGGGCACAGCUGUGCCCGCGGACCGAGCAGCACGGGAAGGGAGAGACAACCAACAAUCAGCGGCUUGAGCGCUCACGAACGGGAAAGGGAUGUCACUGUAACCAAGGGAUGCCGCUAAACGUACAAACGGUGCAAAGCCUCGAAGAUGGCGGAGCGGGGACCCCCACCCGGCUCCUGCUGCCGUGGAAUGGAAUAAAACGCAGCAAUCCCUCAGCUCGAGGAAGAUUUUUAGCUUGGAGAAUAAAAACCAUCUGAUUUCAUUCAGCUUGACUGAUUGCGCUGUACUUGAAACAAACUGUGAGAAGUUGUCACUCAGGAGAGGGGAAGGGACAGGAGUCAGUGCCAAAGAAACACGUGCGCAGUCCUCUUCCAGAUCCUCCUUGCUCCUGAUGCCAUGGAGAGAGACCCUUCCAGACCCCUCCUUGCUCCUGAUGCCAUGGAGAGAGACCCUUCCAGACCCCUCCUUGCUCCUGAUGCCAUGGAGACCCUUUGUACACACCCACCCGUCCCCUCCAGUCACUCCAAAGCUGGAGUUGAUUUAUGUCCCCCCCAAACACGCAGAAGAUCCCCAACCUCCUCCAAGCCCAACACUUCAAAUACUGACAAGGCAAGAAACACAGAGAGAGAGACUUGUGCCCUUCCAUGGGCUGUUUAAUAGCGAUGCACCAUUUACACCCACCGAGGUCCCAGUGCCCUCUCAGCGCGGGCUGUGGGUCACUAAGGCACUCAGGAGGGAGGGCAGGGGGGAUAAUGCACCGGGAAUGUUUCCACAUGGCAUCAGCAGCUCCUGCUGCAGCAGCUCCACCACAGGACUGUGCUCCUUGGAUUUAUGUGAGGGCGAGACGUGUACCUGCUCUCUGGGAAUCUGGCAACUUUGUCAUCACCAAUUCGCUUUUCUUACCCCCAGCUGGGAGCAGUCACAGUUUUCCCAUUGAUUUUGAGAAGGAAUGCUCAAAUUUGAGUGACACUGGGGAAACCCCACACUAUCAGUUCAUUCCCUCAAACUCACCCUGCUCCGAAGGCCCUCCCCUGGGAAGCCCAGCUGCUGCACCUUCCAGUUACAGCUGCAGGAGCCAGGCUCAGAGGAUUGUGCGUUACUCCAGUCCUACCUUACAGCAUUUUGUCCUCAAGAAAGUACCUUGAAUGUAAAUCAAAAUGCUUUGAAACAGCGGAAAUAAAUUAAACAAAUGUAA
This is a long non-coding RNA of Pipra filicauda (Wire-tailed manakin), 1497 nucleotides long. RefSeq lists it as uncharacterized. The transcript has 2 exons. The record is from RefSeq and is a predicted model, not a curated record. Lineage: Eukaryota; Metazoa; Chordata; Aves; Passeriformes; Pipridae.